UGGGGAAUAUUGCACAAUGGGGGAAACCCUGAUGCAGCGACGCCGCGUGAACGAAGAAGGUAUUCGUAUCGUAAAGUUCUGUCCUAUGGGAAGAUAAUGACAGUACCAUAGAAGAAAGCUCCGGCUAAAUACGUGCCAGCAGCCGCGGUAAUACGUAUGGAGCGAGCGUUGUCCGGAAUUAUUGGGCGUAAAGGGUACGCAGGCGGUUUAAUAAGUCGAAUGUUAAAGAUCAGGGCUCAACCCCGCAAAGCAUUGGAAGCUGAUAAACUUGAGUAGUGGAGAGGAAAGUGGAAUUCCUAGUGUAGUGGUGAAGUACGUAGAUAUUAGGAGGAAUACCAGUAGCGAAGGCGACUUGCUGGACACAAACUGACGCUGAGGUACGAAAGCGUGGGGAGCAAACAGG
RNAcentral lists this ribosomal RNA (403 nucleotides) under bacterium. RNAcentral describes it as "partial 16S ribosomal RNA". It matches the Rfam family "Bacterial small subunit ribosomal RNA", at positions 355 to 776 of the family's 1533-position model. The record is from RNAcentral.